AUGAUUGACAUCUAUUCUACAGAACAAAAUCUGCUAAAUUUCAGCAUAUCUAGCGGAUUUCUCGGUACUUUAUAUAUACUCUUUUUGGCUGCUUUAUUGGGCAUAGUUGAUGGAGUUCUAAUGACACAACUCAGUGCUUUACUAGGAAUUCUAUUUAAGCAUGACAUGAAGCAGGAAAUGUUGUUGAUCAAACCAUGGGAGCCAUCAAAACAGUUGCGUCUUUUACCGGGGAGAAAAAGGCAAUAUAAAAGUACAAUACACCUAUGGACUUGCAAUGUGGUAUGGUUCCAUGUUAGUCCUUGA
Molecule: non-coding RNA, 303 nt
Organism: Vicia faba (fava bean)
Lineage: Eukaryota; Viridiplantae; Streptophyta; Magnoliopsida; Fabales; Fabaceae
Source: the annotation of a GenBank genome assembly